RNAcentral lists this long non-coding RNA (694 nucleotides) under Physcomitrium patens. RNAcentral describes it as "long non-coding RNA (PPAT_LNC009007)". The record is from RNAcentral. Lineage: Eukaryota; Viridiplantae; Streptophyta; Bryopsida; Funariales; Funariaceae.
GCUUGACUGUCUAUGACUGGGACAUUAUACUUUUGACGAAAGUUUAGUUUAAAGAUGUAUUUUCCACGUUGGAUCGAAGGAUUCAUUGAUAUCCAAUGAUUUGCAAGGACCUGCUCGAGUCAUUGAUUUUAUGGACGAUAAAUGACGAUCUCCAGCAAAAUUGGACUGUCUCUUACCCAAUUAAAAACUCUUAGUUUGUGCCACAACCAGCCAAAAUUAUUGCGGGACUUCGCAGCUUCAGCUGCAGGCACAUGUGAAAUUGUCCAAGUGGAUUCAAAAUACCGAAAGAUGCAGCAAUCCAUAGUUUGAAUGACGAUCAUGGAGUAACACAUGAUAGAAAUUAUCUAACAGGCAGAGACUGACUAAGUUAUGUCUAACAGUUCCAAUUUUAACAACACGGCACCUGAAGUGGUGUGCCAUCAGACAGAAAAUGAUAAAGAACUUCUUCAAUAACAGGAAGCAAAACCCUUGCAACCAGCUUGAAAAUGUUCACGAAAGAAAUAGAAAAAGAAUAAGAGGAAGAAAAAGAGGGAUGCACAGACAUCGCAAAGAAUCAACACCACACAACUACAGCGCACGACAUCGAUCCACUCCAACGCGCUAAACAUUACCAUAACAAAACUGACCACACCACACCACACCAAAUCGUCCUCCAAAGUCGGGGCUCGUACAAAACCCACAUCCCAAAAACGCC